Ictalurus furcatus (blue catfish) is the source of this 636-nucleotide long non-coding RNA. RefSeq lists it as uncharacterized. The transcript has 14 exons. NCBI's taxonomy places the organism in Eukaryota, Metazoa, Chordata, Actinopteri, Siluriformes, Ictaluridae. The record is from RefSeq and is a predicted model, not a curated record.
UUUUCCUGCAGCACGGACUGAGACUGGAUCUUCAGCAGCUGGACAGCUCCUCUGAUCUCCUGGUUCAGUUCGCUGAUAAAAUGAUGUUUAUCCCAAGAUUAACUUCUCAACAUCUGUGUGCAGUGGGUGCCUCUUUUGGUCCUGGUUUCAAUGUCCUUGAAAGACUUGAGGUGAUGUUAUGAAGUGAAUGCCUGUUGGUGACCACUGCUUUGACCACUGUGAUGGGUGGUGUUUGCCUGGAAGGCUGAGGGUGUCUUCAGAUCAGGGUAAGCAGAUACUGGUCAUCCUCUGAAACCAAGAUGUUUGUGCCAAAUGAAAGUCUUGGCUCAGAAGUGCUCUUAAAUGCAGUUGUCAUGGAUUGCAUUUUCAUGAACAGAAGAACCUAAUGGUCUACUGUGGGUUUCAGGGUGGGCCUGACAGUUUGAGGACUUGAACAGCUGAAACAAUGGACAAGCUGGAUGCUCUUUGGAACAAAGGUGUCCCUGAUCAGGACAAUAAGCCUCUGCAUGAAGAUACUGGUGCUGCCCUGGCUGAGGUCAUCUCUUCUGUUGUAGAAACAACUUGGUGCUGGAGGCGAUGGACAUGUGAAGUUAUGCCUGUAAAUGCUGUCAAGACUUAAUAAAGUUCUUAACUCAA